Molecule: ribosomal RNA, 253 nt
Filed under: uncultured bacterium
Lineage: Bacteria
Description: partial 16S ribosomal RNA
Rfam family: Bacterial small subunit ribosomal RNA
Source: RNAcentral
UACAGAGGGCUCAAGCGUUGUUCGGAUUCAUUGGGCGUAAAGUGUGCGCAGGCGGCAAAGCAAGUCGGGUGUGAAAGCCCCGGGCUUAACUUGGGAAUUGCGCUCGAAACUACUUUGCUGGAGUGUGGCAGAGGAAGGUGGAAUUCCACGUGUAGCGGUGAAAUGCGUAGAGAUGUGGAGGAACACCAAUGGCGAAGGCAGCCUUCUGGGCCAACACUGACGCUCAUGCACGAAAGCGUGGGGAGCAAACAGG